This 497-nucleotide ribosomal RNA is filed under the name uncultured bacterium. RNAcentral describes it as "partial 16S ribosomal RNA". It matches the Rfam family "Bacterial small subunit ribosomal RNA", at positions 28 to 507 of the family's 1533-position model. The record is from RNAcentral.
GAUGAACGCUGGCGGCGUGCCUAAUACAUGCGAGUCGAGCGAACAGACGAGGAGCUUGCUCCUCUGACGUUAGCGGCGGACGGGUGAGUAACACGUGGAUAACCUACCUAUAAGACUGGGAUAACUUCGGGAAACCGGAGCUAAUACCGGAUAAUAUAUUGAACCGCAUGGUUCAAUAGUGAAAGACGGUUUUGCUGUAACUUAUAGAUGGAUCCGCGCCGCAUUAGCUAGUUGGUAAGGUAACGGCUUACCAAGGCAACGAUGCGUAGCCGACCUGAGAGGGUGAUCGGCCACACUGGAACUGAGACACGGUCCAGACUCCUACGGGAGGCAGCAGUAGGGAAUCUUCCGCAAUGGGCGAAAGCCUGACGGAGCAACGCCGCGUGAGUGAUGAAGGUCUUCGGAUCGUAAAACUCUGUUAUUAGGGAAGAACAAAUGUGUAAGUAACUAUGCACGUCUUGACGGUACCUAAUCAGAAAGCCACGGCUAACUACGUG